GCUGAAACUCGCCUACAUGAAGCUGGAGUUACUAGUAAUCGCAGAUCAGAAUGCUGCGGUGAAUGCGUUCCCGGGUCUUGUACACACCGCCCGUCAAACCACGGGAGUUGGAGACGCCCGAAGCCGAUUAUCUAACCUUUUGGAAGAAGUCGGCGAAGGUGGAAUCAAUAACUGGGGUGAAGUCGUAACAAGGUAGCCGUAUCGGAAGGUGCGGCUGGAUCACCUCCUUUCUAAGGAGA
Molecule: ribosomal RNA, 239 nt
Filed under: Clostridioides difficile
Lineage: Bacteria; Bacillati; Bacillota; Clostridia; Peptostreptococcales; Peptostreptococcaceae
Description: partial 16S ribosomal RNA
Rfam family: Bacterial small subunit ribosomal RNA
Source: RNAcentral